RNAcentral lists this ribosomal RNA (559 nucleotides) under uncultured Glomus. RNAcentral describes it as "SSU rRNA". It matches the Rfam family "Eukaryotic small subunit ribosomal RNA", at positions 546 to 1106 of the family's 1831-position model. Lineage: Eukaryota; Fungi; Glomeromycota; Glomeromycetes; Glomerales; Glomeraceae. The record is from RNAcentral.
AAUUGGAGGGCAAGUCUGGUGCCAGCAGCCGCGGUAAUUCCAGCUCCAAUAGCGUAUAUUAAAGUUGUUGCAGUUAAAAAGCUCGUAGUUGAAUUUCGGGGUCAGCAGGUCGGUCGUGCCUACGGUAUGCACUGGCCUUGCUGAUUCCUCCCUCUUGAUGAGCCGUAAUGUCAUUAAUUUGGUGUUGCGGGGAAUCAGGACUGUUACUUUGAAAAAAUUAGAGUGUUUAAAGCAGGCAUGCGCUUGAAUACAUUAGCAUGGAAUAAUGAAAUAGGACGUUUGAUCCUAUUUUGUUGGUUUCUAGGAUUGACGUAAUGAUUAAUAGGGAUAGUUGGGGGCAUUAGUAUUCAAUUGUCAGAGGUGAAAUUCUUGGAUUUAUUGAAGACUAACUACUGCGAAAGCAUUUGCCAAGGAUGUUUUCAUUAAUCAAGAACGAAAGUUAGGGGAUCGAAGACGAUCAGAUACCGUCGUAGUCUUAACCAUAAACUAUGCCGACUAGGGAUCGGAUGAUGUUAAUUUUAUAAUGACUCAUUCGGCGCCUUACGGGAAACCAAAGUGU